GCUGGCGUGGCGCAAUCGGUAGCGCACUUGUCUUGUAAACAAGGGGUUAGGGGUUCAAGUCCCCUCGCCAGCU
Molecule: transfer RNA, 73 nt
Filed under: Micrococcales bacterium
Lineage: Bacteria; Bacillati; Actinomycetota; Actinomycetes; Micrococcales
Description: tRNA-Thr
Rfam family: tRNA
About the family: Transfer RNA (tRNA) molecules are approximately 80 nucleotides in length. Their secondary structure includes four short double-helical elements and three loops (D, anti-codon, and T loops).
Source: RNAcentral